This is a long non-coding RNA of Equus caballus (horse), 2331 nucleotides long. The record is from Ensembl. NCBI's taxonomy places the organism in Eukaryota, Metazoa, Chordata, Mammalia, Perissodactyla, Equidae.
GCCCAGAGUCAGUAGAAGGAGGGAAAUAAUAAAAAUAAGAGCAGAAAUAAACGAUAUUGAAACAAAAAAGACAAUAGAAAGGAUCAAUGAAACAUAUAUUUACCAUUGAUAUGGUUUCAGAUUCCACAUUGUAGCUAACUUUAAAGAAAUUAGCACUUGUUGAUUUUUGGUAUAGUAACAAAGAAGAAUUUCCGCAAUUAUCUGAAAAAGCAUUUAAGAUACUCCUCUGUUUUCCAAUUAUAUAUCUUAGUGAGGCAAGAUUUUCUUACAUACUUCAACCAAAAUGACAAAUUGCAACAGAUUAAAGACAAAAGCAGAGAUGAGAACCCAGCUGCCUUUUAUUAGGUCACACAUUAAAGAGAUUAGCAAAAUUAUAAAACAAUGCUACUCUUAUUUUUUGUUUUGGAAAAUAUAGUUGUCUUUUCAGUUAUACAUUAUUUAUGUUUACAUGUAAUAUGUUCAUCAUGUUAUUUUUGAAUGAAUGAAUAAAUAUUUUUACAAUUUCCUAGUUUUAAUUUCUAGUACAAUAAAGAUUGGCAGCUAUAACUCACAUAAUCAAAAGCCCUUCGGGUCCUCAAUAACGUUCAGAGUGUUACAGAAUCCUGAGACCGAAGUGUGAGAAGCGUUACGGCAGAAUUGAAGCUCUGUGCGGGCAGGGGGGACGUCUGUCUUGAUCACGGCUGUAUUUCACGUGGGAGAUAUUUGAAACAUGGCUGGCAAUAUUUGUUGAAAAAGUGAUUGACUGAAUGACUGUCUGAAUGAAUGAAUAACAUUCAAAAUGGGCCUUCCAUGGCAUUCUAGACAGAGGAAACAGUCUGAUAAAAAGACCAGAAUCAAGAAAGUAAGGAUUUUAGGAGAAUAGUGAGAAAUUAAGUCUGUAGAGCAGACUAGCACAGUGGAUAAGAAUUUAGACUUUGGACACAAACAAUCCUGAGUUCAAAUCCUGUUUCCAACCUUUACUAGCUAAGGUAAAUCAACCAUUCUGAACAUCAGCUUAUUAACUGUGUAUACUAGUGCAAGUUACUACUUCUCUAUGCCUCUAUUUCUUUAUCUGUAAAAUGAAGCUACCUCAAACGUUUGUGUUGACAGUAGUAAAGUGCCUAGAGUUGCAUUGCCCAACAUGGCAGCCACUAACCACAUGAGCACUUGGUAAGUGGCUAGUGCAACUGAGAAACUAAAUUUUUAAUUUUAUUUAAUUUUAAUUGAUUGAAAGUGAAGUUAAAAGUUUAAAAUUAAAUCAGUUUUGUCAAUAGGGAUGAGCAUAGAAAAAAAUGAUUAUUUGGUACUUGAUUCAGGUAUUGGAAAUCUUUUAAGCAUGUUUGGAACAACUUGGGUAUGUGAAUCUACUUUUUUCACUGUACUUUUUACAAUAUUUAAAUAUAGAUCAAGUAUUUCCAAUAAAAAUUUAGUGUCCAAAUUGAGACGUGCUGUAGGUGUAAAAUACACAAUGGAUUUCAAAGAUUUAAUACACACUAAAAAAGAAUAUGAUAUAUAUCAUUAAAAAGUUUUUAUAUUGAUUAAAUGCUCAUUGAUAAAAUACUUUAUUAAAAUCAAUUUCACCUAGUUUUUACUUUUUUAGUGUGGCAAUUAGAAAAUUAAAAUGACAAAUAUGGCUCAUAUUUCUAUUGGACGGUGGCUUAGCACAUUGUAACUGCUGUACAAAGUGUUAGUGACCCCUGUUUUAUUAUUAUUUAUACUAUAGAGAUAACAUUUAUCUUACAAAGUCAUAUAAGGACAAAAUGAGAGAUUAUAUUAAGCUCUUAGCACAGUGUGGGGCACAUAAUAAGGGCUCAGUAAAUGGUACCUAUCAUCAGUAAGUAGAGAGGGCAUCGUGUGUUCUGGGAUGAUAGAACUGCAAAGCUAGGUGGGGGCUGCAUGUUGUAUAAAGUUCUGAAAAUCUAGCUGACAUGUUGGAGCUUAAUUCUCUAUGCAACCGAGAGGCACUGAAGCGCAUGAUCCGAGGGUUCUGGGAUGGCCCCUUUCUGUUGCACUCCUCUCCUUUGUUCUCUAAAGCUGCAUAAAAAAAAUCACUGCAAAACUUAGCGGGUUAAGAUGGCAAUGACCAUUUAUGUCUUUCAUGGUUUCUGUGGGUUGUGAAUCCGGCAGUAGUUUAGCCGAGUGGUUCUGGUUAGGGGUCCCUCGUGAGGUCAUAGUCAGAUGUUAGGUGUGACUACAGUCAUCUGAAGGCUUCACUUGGUCUGGAGGACAGACUUCCAAGGUGGUUCGCUCACAGAGCUGGUAAGUUGGUUUUGGCUGCUGUCAGAAGUCCUUAGGCCCUCUCCACGUGGGAAGCUUCCUCACAAGAUGGUGGCUGGGUUCUGAGAGACUGAA